UAACUGUUUGUAUUUGUAUUUGGGUUCGAUUUUAAGAAUAUCAAGGUCUAUUAUGUUGGUGGUGUCUAAUUUUAGUUGUUGCGUGUUUUGAUGUUGGUUUUGGGUUUUUUGUUAGUUGUAGCUAUGGGGCUUUGUCACUGGUGCAUAAAAAUCCCGAUGGACCAUCAUCGCCAUAGUAGGUAUCUCAAUUUGGAUUUCAGCUUGCAAAAUCCCAUGUUUCAAUGGAAAAAAAAACAAGAAAAAGUUUGAGGAAAUGGAAAAGGCGCAUCCAAAGUAGAAACUAUUUUAUGUUACUUAUUACAUUUUUGUUCAAUAAAAACAGAUAAACUUAUACAUCUAUAAAUGGAACCAUUUGUUAUAACUAUGUUUUUAAAUAUAAUCUUUGUUUAUGUUAAAUGACAUUUCAUAUAAAGGCCAAAAACUUACCUUAGGGUAGAUGCUAUAGCAUUGUACUUUGCUUUAAUUUGGAAACAAUAUAAUGCAAAUCCAACCCCUGCAAAGCGGGGAAUACUUCACUGGUUA
Long non-coding RNA from Lactuca sativa (garden lettuce), 522 nucleotides. RefSeq lists it as uncharacterized. NCBI's taxonomy places the organism in Eukaryota, Viridiplantae, Streptophyta, Magnoliopsida, Asterales, Asteraceae. The record is from RefSeq and is a predicted model, not a curated record.